RNAcentral lists this ribosomal RNA (693 nucleotides) under uncultured bacterium. Its description in RNAcentral is "bacterial SSU rRNA". It matches the Rfam family "Bacterial small subunit ribosomal RNA", at positions 366 to 1052 of the family's 1533-position model. The record is from RNAcentral.
UGACAUGGGGGCAACCUGNAUCCAGCAAUGCCGCGUGAGUGAAGAAGGCCUUCGGGUUGUAAAGCUCUUUUGUCAGGGAAGAAACAGCAGCUCUAACACAGUCUGCGAAUGACGGUACCUGAAGAAUAAGCACCGGCUAACUACGUGCCAGCAGCCGCGGUAAUACGUAGGGUGCAAGCGUUAAUCGGAAUUACUGGGCGUAAAGCGUGCGCAGGCGGUUAUACAAGACAGGCGUGAAACCCCGGGCUUAACCUGGGAAUGGCGUCUGUGACUGUAUAGCUAGAGUGUGUCAGAGGGGGGUGGAAUUCCACGUGUAGCAGUGAAAUGCGUAGAUAUGUGGAGGAACACCAAUGGCGAAGGCGGCCCCCUGGGAUAACACUGACGCUCAUGCACGAAAGCGUGGGGAGCAAACAGGAUUAGAUACCCUGGUAGUCCACGCCCUAAACGAUGCUGACUAGUUGUUGGGAAUCUACAUUCUCAGUAACGUAGCUAACGCGUGAAGUCAGCCGCCUGGGGAGUACGGUCGCAAGAUUAAAACUCAAAGGAAUUGACGGGGACCCGCACAAGCGGUGGAUGAUGUGGAUUAAUUCGAUGCAACGCGAAAAACCUUACCUACCCUUGACAUGUCACUAACGAAGUAGAGAUACAUUAGGUGCCCGUAAGGGAAAGUGAACACAGGUGCUGCAUGGCUGU